AGCUCCUUUGCUCAGCCGCAGAGGUGGAGGGACCGUGGGGACUUCGGGCCCUAGGGUCCGCAGAUGACAUGUCAGUCGAUAGGCAUUUAUUUUACUGUUCGAGGAAAACAAAUAAGGGUGCAGCUUAGGCGAAAAGAAAAACGUCUUAUUGCCAGUGACUAAUCUCCUAACAACGACAUGUGUCUCUGAGACUGUGUAUGUGGAUACACGUGUACUUAAAACAGCCCCGCCUGUGUGCAGAGCUCUUGCUGUACGUCAACGCUUUACAGGAGCUAUCGCACUUAAGCCUCAGAACAACUUUAUGAGGCCUAUUUCUAACAGGCUUGUUCAUGUGCAUUCUUAUUCUAUCCUGGAUUGGAAUCAGAAAAUUGGACAGUGUUGCAGGUACUGACUGAUGCAGGCACACCGACAGCCACAAAAGUGAGAACUGAAAGCACUAUAAGAAAUGUUGAAGAAAGUCCUUCAGACAGAAGGG
Molecule: long non-coding RNA, 475 nt
Organism: Ceratotherium simum simum (southern white rhinoceros)
Lineage: Eukaryota; Metazoa; Chordata; Mammalia; Perissodactyla; Rhinocerotidae
Source: RefSeq, a predicted model, not a curated record